This 494-nucleotide unclassified non-coding RNA is filed under the name Melitaea cinxia (Glanville fritillary). Its description in RNAcentral is "misc RNA ENSMCXG00005015979.1". Lineage: Eukaryota; Metazoa; Arthropoda; Insecta; Lepidoptera; Nymphalidae. The record is from RNAcentral.
AGUCGAAUUGAGAACCUCCUCCUUUUUUGGAAGUCGGUUAAAAAUAAAGUUCGCUACUAUUAAGAGUAUUUCUUAUAUUUGAUACAUUUGAUGAUAUCAUAGAGUUACUGACUGAGUUGAGAAAUUAUAAAACGCGUAAACUAAGUAUUGGAAAAAAAGUGUGUGUGUGUACUUAUGUACGCACGUAAGAAGUUAUACUUCAUUGGCUAGCUAACAUCACGUUGCUAACUUCUUCUUCGUUGACUAGCUAACUUCAGGGUAUCGGUUUUUUGGAACGGUGUGCGUGAUCGUAAAAAUUUACCGUCAUCAUGUUACCCUAACGCGCCAAAAGAAGUAUAACUUCAAAAAUAAAAAGUUUAUUUACGACAUGUUUGUUUAGAUAAUUUUUGUACUUAAGUGACAAGUUCAAUUAAGUACAAUUAAGUAAUUACUUAAAAUAGAAAAUCUUUUUAAGCUAAGAUAAAUGUCAACGGACACGAAAGAAAUGAACGAAA